RNAcentral lists this ribosomal RNA (570 nucleotides) under uncultured bacterium. RNAcentral describes it as "partial 16S ribosomal RNA". It matches the Rfam family "Bacterial small subunit ribosomal RNA", at positions 355 to 918 of the family's 1533-position model. The record is from RNAcentral.
UGGGGAAUUUUGGACAAUGGGCGAAAGCCUGAUCCAGCAAUGCCGCGUGUGUGAAGAAGGCCUUCGGGUUGUAAAGCACUUUUGUCCGGAAAGAAAUCCUUGGCUCUAAUACAGUCGGGGGAUGACGGUACCGGAAGAAUAAGCACCGGCCAACUACGUGCCAGCAGCCGCGGUAAUACGUAGGGUGCAAGCGUUAAUCGGAAUUACUGGGCGUAAAGCGUGCGCAGGCGGUUUGCUAAGACCGAUGUGAAAUCCCCGGGCUCAACCUGGGAACUGCAUUGGUGACUGGCAGGCUAGAGUAUGGCAGAGGGGGGUAGAAUUCCACGUGUAGCAGUGAAAUGCGUAGAGAUGUGGAGGAAUACCGAUGGCGAAGGCAGCCCCCUGGGCCAAUACUGACGCUCAUGCACGAAAGCGUGGGGAGCAAACAGGAUUAGAUACCCUGGUAGUCCACGCCCUAAACGAUGUCAACUAGUUGUUGGGGAUUCAUUUCCUUAGUAACGUAGCUAACGCGUGAAGUUGACCGCCUGGGGAGUACGGUCGCAAGAUUAAAACUCAAAUGAAUUGACGGGG